GUGCAAAGAAAGACAGGGAGACUUUUUUUUUUCCAGAAAGAUUUACUAUCUCGUGUCAAAAUGAUCUUCUCACAGAUAUGGUUUCCCUGUGAAAUUUCACUGACAUCUGGGCCAGAUUCUUGAAAAAUGAUUUCUGGCUUUUUUUCCCCUUCAUUUCUAAUUUACUGGAUUACAAUAGAUAAUUCUUCACCCCCUUCUGAACCUGUUUCCACGAAAGCGAAAAUAAAAACCAGGACGUUUAGACUAUAUUAAAAAAAUGUCAAGGGAACAGGGUAGAAAUUUUUGAUGUUAUAGAAGAAAGAAACAACAUACGUUACAGUCGUGAUUAUUUUCAUUAUUUUUUUAAACCUGCCUAGAGAGUAAGGCUCACGCUUCAGUUUUAAAGAAAAAGGAAAAACACAGGUGGGGAAAAGAUGAUUUAAUGCUUCAGUCAACUGAAAGGGAGGGGCUCUUCCCCAAGGCCUUCAUGGGGUUGGCAGUUUUCAGCUCCUGGUAUCUGAACAAUCAGGCAGGAUUUCAGUAAGGGUGUCUGAAGUACAAGUAGAAUGUCUGUUAGGCCAAAAGUAAGUUUUAACAUUUCACUGAAGAAGACACAAAGAUUUCUGAAACCAGAGAUUUCAGAAACUCUGUUGACUUCCCAGAUGGUAAAAGCCCCUAAAAUAGGAAUUAUUAUUUUGUACCUCAUUUUUCCCAUCAUGCUUUCUACUAGUCUAGUCUACUAGAAGAGGGUUUCAAUAUAUGGUUGAUGAAUAAGGAGGUCAUGUAACUGUGGAUGAGUUAAAAAGACUCCUUGGGCUACGGAGUAAGGCCAAGACCAGUAUAGGCAAUGUAGUGAGAAUCUGUUUAAUUUUUUGUUAAUAGAAGAAAGAUCUUUGCAUAUAAGUCACAGUAGAGCAUUUGCCUAGCAUGAGAAGGGUCUUGUGCUCAUUCCCUAGUAUAAGGCAGCAGUGUGUAGUGGGGAUGGUCUAUAUAUGACAACCCACAGCCAGAACCACAAAGAAUAAGGACACAUGCUAUCAUUUAUUCUAGGAUCAGAAACAAGGUAAAGGUCGAUUUGCUCAUACUGUUAACCAACACAGUAUUUCAAGUCUGAGCCAGCACAGCGAGGUAAGAGAGAAAAAUCAAAGGCACCUGAAUAGGAGGGCAGGAGGAGAAGCUAUCCCGAUUUGCAAGCAGCAUGAUUCUGUAUGGCGAUAAGGCUAGACUGCACCGAGAAUGUUAAAACUGACCAGCCAAUUCAGUAAGUUGGCACGAUAUGAAAUCAAUUUCAAGAAUCGAUGGUAUUUGUAUAUAUCAAUUGCAAAACUGCUGGAAAAACAAUCUUAAUGCUAGCUGUUACAGCAAAUAACCUGUAUAAAUAAAUUUAACCGAGGAAGUGAAUUAUCUCCACAAUGAACAUUACAGAACACCAAUGAAGGAAACUAAAGAUAACACACCAAAUGGAAACACAUUCCAUUUUCCAGACUAAUUAAUAUUGUUAACAUGCCCACACUAUACAGCAUGAUCUACAGAAGCAAUGUAAUUCCUAUCAAAUGCUAAUGACAUUCUUCACUGAAAUAGG
RNAcentral lists this long non-coding RNA (1561 nucleotides) under Mus musculus (house mouse). Its description in RNAcentral is "long non-coding RNA chr2:4131660-4133221". The record is from RNAcentral. Lineage: Eukaryota; Metazoa; Chordata; Mammalia; Rodentia; Muridae.